CACCUGCGCCACGAGUGGGACUCAUUAUUAUUGGGCCUAAAGCGUUCGUAGCCGGGUAUGCAAGUCUUGGGUGAAAUCGAUGCGCUUAACAAAUCGACGUGCUUGAGAUACUACAUAUCUUGAGAUCGGGAGGGGUUAGGGGUAUUCUGGAGGGAGCGGUAAAAUGUUAUAAUCUCCAGAGGACCACCUGUGGCGAAGGCGUCUAACCAGAACGAGUCUGACGGUGAGGAACGAAAGCUAGGGGAGCAAACCGGAUUAGAAA
Molecule: ribosomal RNA, 262 nt
Filed under: uncultured bacterium
Lineage: Bacteria
Description: partial 16S ribosomal RNA
Rfam family: Archaeal small subunit ribosomal RNA
Source: RNAcentral